Transfer RNA from Cavia porcellus (domestic guinea pig), 64 nucleotides. It matches the Rfam family "tRNA". Rfam says of the family: Transfer RNA (tRNA) molecules are approximately 80 nucleotides in length. Their secondary structure includes four short double-helical elements and three loops (D, anti-codon, and T loops). Lineage: Eukaryota; Metazoa; Chordata; Mammalia; Rodentia; Caviidae. The record is from Rfam.
GGGGAUUUAGCUCAGUGGUGUAAGCGCCUGCCUUGCAAGCAGCCAGUUGUGAGUUCAAUCCCUG